GUCUUUUUGAUUUUAAUUUAAAGUCAAAUCUGCCCACUGAUUUAUAUUAAAGGGCUGCAGUAUAUUGACUGUACAAAGGUAGCAUAAUAAAUAGUCUUUUAAUUGGAGACUUGUAUGAAAGAUUUGAUGAGAUAUAAACUGUCUCUUUUUUAUAUUUAGAAUUUAAUUUUUUAGUAAAAAAGCUAAAAUUAAUUUAAAAGACGAGAAGACCCUAUAGAGUUUUAUAAUUAGUUUAUUUAUAUAUUUAUAUUUAUAAUUUAAAAUUUGAUUAAUUUAAUUAUUUUGUUGGGGUGAUAGAAAAAUAUAUUAAACUUUUUUUAAAAAAUUACAUUAAUUAAUGAAUAAAUGAUCCAUAAAUUAUGAUUAAAAGAAAAAAUUACCUUAGGGAUAACAGCGUAAUUUUUUUUUUUAGUUCUUAUAGGAAAAAGAGUUUGCGACCUCGAUGUUGGAUUAAGAUAAAAUUUAAAUGUAGAAGUUUAAAAUUUUUGAUCUGUUCGAUCAUUAAAAUCUUACA
RNAcentral lists this ribosomal RNA (514 nucleotides) under Parnara batta. RNAcentral describes it as "partial 16S ribosomal RNA". The stretch from base 387 to 514 matches the Rfam family "Bacterial large subunit ribosomal RNA", at positions 2473 to 2600 of the family's 2925-position model. The record is from RNAcentral. Lineage: Eukaryota; Metazoa; Arthropoda; Insecta; Lepidoptera; Hesperiidae.